UCGGAGAAGAAUCCCGUCGCUAGGAGGUCCAACGAACCCAAACGUCUCAUCAAGAGCCACAACCACCGCAGAAAGGAGAAACCCACCACGCACCACCAACUAGAGACGAUGGGCAAUCGAAAUCUGAAACAAAACGAUGGAGCACGAGAGGAGGAGAAACAUCAAAGACAACAAAGAGGGAGGAGGAGGAGCCCUCCCCGUUCGCCGGCAAGGAGUGCCGCAAACGGAGAGGCGGAGGAGGCAGAUCGCCGACAUUAUGAUUUAAACUUAAUUUGUAACAAGAAAUUACUCUAAAAUGAUAUCGGCAUAGAUAUUGUAUUAGAC
Molecule: small RNA, 324 nt
Filed under: Arabidopsis thaliana (thale cress)
Lineage: Eukaryota; Viridiplantae; Streptophyta; Magnoliopsida; Brassicales; Brassicaceae
Description: ATSL109210
Source: RNAcentral